AUUGAACGCUGGCGGCAGGCUUAACACAUGCAAGUCGAGCGGGGGAAGGUAGCUUGCUACCUGACCUAGCGGCGGACGGGUGAGUAAUGCUUAGGAAUCUGCCUAUUAGUGGGGGACAACAUCUCGAAAGGGAUGCUAAUACCGCAUACGUCCUACGGGAGAAAGCAGGGGACCUUCGGGCCUUGCGCUAAUAGAUGAGCCUAAGUCGGAUUAGCUAGUUGGUGGGGUAAAGGCCUACCAAGGCGACGAUCUGUAGCGGGUCUGAGAGGAUGAUCCGCCACACUGGGACUGAGACACGGCCCAGACUCCUACGGGAGGCAGCAGUGGGGAAUAUUGGACAAUGGGGGGAACCCUGAUCCAGCCAUGCCGCGUGUGUGAAGAAGGCCUUUUGGUUGUAAAGCACUUUAAGCGAGGAGGAGGCUACCGAGAUUAAUACUCUUGGAUAG
RNAcentral lists this ribosomal RNA (446 nucleotides) under uncultured bacterium. RNAcentral describes it as "bacterial SSU rRNA". It matches the Rfam family "Bacterial small subunit ribosomal RNA", at positions 30 to 475 of the family's 1533-position model. The record is from RNAcentral.